CUGUCGGUCAACGUGCUUUCCUUUGUCCAUCCAAACGUGCAUUCUGGUCUACUCUUUGCACUCCGAUCUGUUGCCAAAUUCAACUUGGCGUGACACGCUCUCCGCCUCGUACAAGUGUAUCUACCGGUGCCAUCAGCUGUUUGUUGGCUACCCUGUUCAUCUACCAAAGCUCCGAGAGCUCUCUCCUUCUGGCUCAGGUAGGCCACCCAAAUGACGCCACACGUUCGCUAAAGUUUUGAUUUGUUUGACUCGGGUCUAACCGAUUAUGUAUUUUGUUGUAGCGUGGGUUUGAGUUUCCUCUGACUCGUCGGCCUUUAUUGUCUUCCUCCUCUCCUCCUCUGCUGUUGUGGAACGCGCCUGGGUGUAGCUGCAGACUCCCGGUUCGCUCUGAAUUGCUGCUGUUUUGUCCCCCCUCGAUACGCGCUUCGGACUGACGCGUCGCAGUGUCCGGUCAUCCGAGGGCUAUCACUCCGAAAGCAUUCAGCAGCCCAGCAUAAGUUAACUUGCGCAGGUGGCGCAUGUGGCCGAGUUCAGUGUGUGCGUGAAUGUAGUCUGUGUGCAGGUAAUCCCAGAGGGAGGUCCUCUUCCCCCCUGGUGGUGGGUCCGGUCACGUGGUGUGCAGUGAAUUGCAGUGCAGUGCAGUGUUACCUGUGUGUGAGUGCAAUAAUUCACCUUCACUUAGUGUGUGCAUGGGCACGAGUGUUUGUGUGUACUUAUCCAAGACCUAGACAGGGGGCUUAGUAUAAUUCCCCCCUCUUGGGUGCACCUGCCCUGUA
Long non-coding RNA from Engraulis encrasicolus (European anchovy), 776 nucleotides. RefSeq lists it as uncharacterized. Lineage: Eukaryota; Metazoa; Chordata; Actinopteri; Clupeiformes; Engraulidae. The transcript is spliced from 3 exons. The record is from RefSeq and is a predicted model, not a curated record.